CGCCCUGCCGCGCCGUCAACUUCUGGCCGCCGCGGCCGCUCCGCCGCCGCCGCCGCCACCACCGCGGGACUUUUUUUUUCCUCUCGCUCCUCGGCUGCCUCAGGAAUUUUUUUUUUUCACUUGCCCUCUCCAGCUCCCACUAGUGAUUGGAGACUGAGAGCCAAGUACUUAGCGGAGGGAUUACACUUCUCAACGCACUUGGAGCGGCCCCAGCGCCACCGCCUGUGUGCGGAGCGCUGAGCGGACUUGGGGAGCUGUUGGGUGCGGGAUGGAGACAGCCGGGGUCGAGGGGUGCGCUUCCCAAGUCCCGUCCGCUGCUCAGAGCAUCCCCAAGAUUUCCAUCUUGGGUGCUGUCCUGGUUAUGUUUAACAGGGUUUCCAGAAAACCUCUUGGUUUGAAGAACAAAGAUUCGUGUAAUUAUUGUACCUUGAGAGCUGGAAGGGGCUCACAGAGAUGAUAUAAUGUGGAUUUAAACUUUUCAGGGCCAUAGACACUCUUCAGAAAUUCAUAAAACGUUGACACACCUCCUAAAAUAUGAACACAUCAAAAUUAUGCCCGCACUUUGAAGUAAUGGAGAAGUAUGGGAGAUUUGUAAGCCAGAAAGUCAAAUGGUAGAGUGGGAUUUUCAGAAGAUUAUUUAGAGAGCAAGAUCUUACCAAAUCCUUUAGUCACGGUCUGUUUUGUUGCACUCAUAUGGGUGUUACUGCAAAGGUGAAAAACUAAUGACUGCAGCAGGAAAAAAAAUUGGAUGUGUCAUGAAUUAUGGCCUUGUUUAUACUUCUACUUUAACCAUAAUCAUUUGUUUAAACAGAAAGUUCUGCAUUUGAAUUGCCACAAUUGUGGAUGUGUUAUAAACAUCUCGUGUUUCACCCAGGCUCAGCCAACACUUGCUUUUGUUGACACUCAUAAUCGAGAAAUAAAAUAUUAUACUAACACAAAAUUAUCCUUCAUAAGAGAAUAUAAACAGAAGAGUGGUUCAUAAACAUACUAAUUAAGAUUUCUACUAUCAUUUAUUAACAAACAUUUUUGUGUCAUCUUAAAAUAAGUAAAACCUUAUGACAUGCUAACAA
This is a long non-coding RNA of Cebus imitator (Panamanian white-faced capuchin), 1070 nucleotides long. RefSeq lists it as uncharacterized. The transcript has 3 exons. NCBI's taxonomy places the organism in Eukaryota, Metazoa, Chordata, Mammalia, Primates, Cebidae. The record is from RefSeq and is a predicted model, not a curated record.